RNAcentral lists this ribosomal RNA (279 nucleotides) under uncultured bacterium. Its description in RNAcentral is "partial 16S ribosomal RNA". It matches the Rfam family "Bacterial small subunit ribosomal RNA", at positions 506 to 784 of the family's 1533-position model. The record is from RNAcentral.
UGCCAGCAGCCGCGGUAAUACAGAGGGUGCAAGCGUUAAUCGGAAUUACUGGGCGUAAAGCGCACGUAGGUGGAUAAACAGGUUGGAUGUGAAAGCCCUGGGCUUAACCUGGGAAUGUCAUUCAAAACCAUUUAUCUAGAGUACAGUAGAGGAAAGUGGAAUUUCCGGUGUAGCGGUGAAAUGCGUAGAUAUCGGAAGGACCACCAGUGGCGAAGGCGGCUUUCUGGACUGAUACUGACACUGAGGUGCGAAAGCGUGGGGAGCAAACAGGAUUAGAUA